UCACGUCCGGCGCGGAGACGGCGGCGUCUCCGUACGGUCGGCGGGGCACGCAUAGCCGGGCAGUUGGUUCGUGGGCUGUGGAGGCGACGGAGCCAGGGGCUGGUGGGGCCGGCUCGGGGAGGACCUGCCUGGGGGCUUUCUCUUGCAUACCCUCGCUUGGGCUGGCCAGGGUGUCACUUCUGCCUCCCUGCCCUCCAGACCAUGGACGGCUCCUUCGUCCAACACAGUGUGAGGGUUCUGCAGGAGCUCAACAAGCAGCGGGAGAAGGGCCAGUACUGCGACGCCACUCUGGACGUGGGGGGCCUGGUGUUUAAGGCGCACUGGAGCGUCCUUGCCUGCUGCAGCCACUUCUUCCAGAGCCUCUACGGGGAUGGUUCAGGAGGUAGUGUCGUCCUCCCUGCUGGCUUCGCUGAGAUCUUUGGCCUCUUGUUGGACUUUUUCUACACUGGUCACCUCGCUCUCACCUCAGGGAACCGGGAUCAGGUGCUCCUGGCAGCCAGGGAGUUGCGAGUGCCCGAGGCCGUAGAGCUGUGCCAGAGCUUCAAGCCCAAAACUUCAGUGGGACAGGCAGCAGGUGGCCAGAGUGGGCUGGGGCCCCCUGCCUCCCAGAAUGUGAACAGCCUCGUCAAGGAGCCGGCAGGCUUGCAAGAAGAGGAAGUUUCGAGGACUCUGGGUCUAGUCCCCAGAGAUCAGGAGCCCAGAGGCAGUCAUAGUCCUCACAGGCCCCAGCUCCAUUCCCCAGCUCAGAGAGAGAGCCCCUCCUCCCUCUGUGGGAAACUCAAGCAGACCUUGAAGCCUUGUUCCCCCGAGGACAAGGAACCUGAGGACUGCAAAGUGCCCCCAAGGCCCUUCGAGGCUGAAGGUGGCCAGCUGCAGGGCGGGAGUAAUGAGUGGGAAGUGGUGGUUCAAGUGGAGGACGACGGGGAUGGUGAUUACAUGUCUGAGCCUGAAACUGUGCUGACCCGGAGGAAGUCAGAUGUAAUCCGAAAGCCCUGUGCAGCUGAGCCAGCCCUGAGCGCGGCGGGCUCCCUAGCAGCUGAGCCUGCUGAGAACAGAAAAGGUACAGCGGUGCCGGUCGAAUGCCCCACAUGUCAUAAAAAGUUUCUCAGCAAAUAUUAUCUAAAAGUCCACAACAGGAAACAUACUGGGGAGAAACCCUUUGAGUGUCCCAAGUGUGGGAAGUGUUACUUUCGGAAGGAGAACCUCCUGGAGCAUGAAGCCCGGAAUUGCAUGAACCGCUCGGAACAGACUCUUCCCAGCAGCAAGCGGAAGCCCGGGCAGAGGCUGCUGUCACAGGCAGAGGCCCCCGCUGAUGCCGGCCCUGCUUGCCCCUCACACUGCCAGGUCUUCACGUGCUCCGUGUGCCAGGAGACAUUCCGCCGGAGGAUGGAGCUGCGGGUGCACAUGGUGUCUCACACGGGGGAGAUGCCCUACAAGUGUUCCUCCUGCUCCCAGCAGUUCAUGCAGAAGAAGGACUUGCAGAGCCACAUGAUCAAGCUGCAUGGAGCCCCAAAGCCCCAUGCAUGCCCCACCUGUGCCAAGUGCUUCCUGUCUCGGACAGAGCUGCAGCUGCAUGAAGCUUUCAAGCACCGUGGUGAGAAGCUGUUUGUGUGUGAGGAGUGUGGGCACCGGGCCUCCAGCCGGAAUGGCCUGCAGAUGCACAUCAAGGCCAAGCACAGGAAUGAGAGGCCACACGUGUGUGAGUUCUGCAGCCACGCCUUCACCCAAAAGGCCAAUCUCAACAUGCACCUGCGCACACACACGGGCGAGAAGCCCUUCCAGUGCCACCUCUGUGGCAAGACCUUCCGAACCCAAGGUGAGCCAGCCUGGACAAGCACAACCGCACUCACACCGGGGAAAGGCCCUUCAGUUGCGAGUUCUGUGAACAGCGCUUCACUGAGAAGGGGCCCCUCCUGAGGCACGUGGCCAGCCGCCAUCAGGAGGGCCGGCCCCACUUCUGCCAGAUCUGCGGCAAGACCUUCAAAGCCGUGGAGCAACUGCGUGUGCAUGUCAGACGACAUAAGGGGGUGAGGAAGUUCGAGUGCACCGAGUGCGGCUACAAGUUUACCCGGCAGGCCCACCUGCGGAGGCACAUGGAGAUCCACGACCGGGUGGAGAACUACAACCCGCGGCAGCGCAAGCUCCGCAACCUGAUCAUCGAGGACGAGAAGAUGGUGGUGGUGGCGCUGCAGCCGCCUGCGGAGCUGGAGGUGGGCUCAGCGGAGGUCAUUGUGGAGUCCCUGGCCCAGGGCGGCCUGGCCUCCCAGCUCCCAGGCCAGAGACUGUGUGCAGAGGAGAGCUUCACCAGCCCAGCUGUCCUGGAGCCCUCCCUCAUCAUCACAGCUGCUGUCCCUGAGGACUGUGACACAUAGCCCACUUUGGCCGCCAGAGCCCACUUGGCCCCACCCAAUAAACCAUGUGGCUUUGGACUCACGUA
RNA transcript from Piliocolobus tephrosceles (Ugandan red Colobus), 2437 nucleotides. It is a transcript of the gene named zinc finger and BTB domain containing 48, with no coding region annotated. Lineage: Eukaryota; Metazoa; Chordata; Mammalia; Primates; Cercopithecidae. The record is from RefSeq and is a predicted model, not a curated record. The transcript is spliced from 11 exons.